Long non-coding RNA from Hydractinia symbiolongicarpus, 3073 nucleotides. RefSeq lists it as uncharacterized. NCBI's taxonomy places the organism in Eukaryota, Metazoa, Cnidaria, Hydrozoa, Anthoathecata, Hydractiniidae. The transcript has 2 exons. The record is from RefSeq and is a predicted model, not a curated record.
AAAAAUUGUUUUAGUUUUCACUAAAGUAGUAAAAAAGAAGAGACAUGUUCAUCAUCUUCCCUUUAAUAGAGAAACCUUAAAAUAUAUAACAUAAAUAGUGUAUUUUUCAUCCUCUUUAUGCUUAUGAAAACCCUUCUUAUUGCUUAAAAUAUCUUCACAAUAUAACUUGUUGGCCAACCCUUAUUCUUGUACCAUUUGCACAGAAUACAAUAUGUUUUGCCAACAUUCAAGUUUUCGAAUUUAUUAAUAAAUGCUGACCAAUUUUAAACUUUUUCCUGACACAUAUACCUAAUAGGGCAUAAAAGCAAACCUUUUUUCCAUUAUUUAAAUCAAGCAAGUGUGAUAAAGAAAUUGUUACAGCUUAAAUCACCAAUGUUUGGUUUACAUCUUUGCUUCAUGCCACAGCGGAAAUUAUAUGGAUAGGGAAUAAAAAUUAAAUUCUUUGUGUGGCUUUUGUGCAUAAAAAUGUUUUUUCGUUACAUAGUCAUAUUUUUUUGCAGAACCAUUCACACCCACUGGAAAAAAGUCUGCAAAGGGGGAAAAAGUUGUUUUUCACAAGCCUGUUAAAUAAUUCAUUUGUCAUGUCAUUUGCAGCAAUAUAAAAUUUCCCAGAUAAAAGUUAAAGAGAAAAGGCUUUCAAUUUUUUGAGAUUUUUAAUUUCUCAGUGCCUUGUGCAGAAAUUGUAUUUUUGCAUAAAUGAUUGUUUCAAUUCUAUAAAAUUUGCCCCAAUUUUUGAAAGAUUAUUGGUCCAUCAAAUGUUACCAACUCAAAUUUUGUUCAAAAUUUCUUCUUUGUUUCACUUCUGACAUAAGUUUUAUAGUACCACCAGCGGUGUUGAUUUUAGCAGAAAAUGUAUUGUUGUUGUUAAAAAAAUCAAUUUGGAGAUUAUACUCAAAAAAAAUUCUAGAUUAUGCAGCUUCUUGUUCACAGGUUUGUGCGCAGGGUUUGUCCCCAGGACUUUUUGUUUUUGACUGAUCUUGUCACAAUGCUGGUAAAAGAAGAGUGAUCUUUUCGGCCUAUUUUGUGGUACUAACUGUUUUAUUACUUGUGCAACAACAGUUUAUUUAUACAUAAAACCUUUUCUACUUUUAUAAACAAAUACUCCUACGUUAUAAUGUUUGUGAUUUGAUUAAAGAUUAGUAUAUGAAAUCCUCAUUUGUAUUUUUACUGCAAGUAAGCUUUGAAAGUUUUCUUUGACUUUAAUUCAAGCAAUACCUUGGCUUCCUGAAUAGCUAACAAAAUUUUUAAUAACAUAUCUGCAGCCUUACCUAUGAAAAAGUGCAAAAACAAAGAUGAAUUAAUAAAAAAUGAUGUCAACUGCAAUAGACGAGUCUUUUCAAAAGAACACUUAUGUUAUAUGAAUAUUCAUAUGGAUGAAAGCAAUAUUGGAGAAAAAACAGUUCAUGUAUUAUAAAUGAAAUAUGGGCAAAAUAUAUGGGCUUCAAAAACCAACACCCCCUCUCGGAGCUAUGUUGACAGACCAUUAAAUAGUUGUUCAACAUUUAUGUGUUUUGUCUUCUCCAACAGAAUUUUCAACUAAAGUGAAUUUUUGUAAAGAGGUUUACAAGAUUUUUUCAUACUAAUGGCCCAAACAAAAUUUUUCAAUAAAAUUAUUUAUGCAAAUACAGAUGUAAAAAUAUAUAUAUUUAAAAUCGAAAUAUCAACAACAAAAACGUAUUGCUGGUUCAUCAAAUAUAGGAAAAAGAAACCAAAGGACGAAUGGGAUACACAAAAUACAAUCAAAACAAAUUCAAAGAGACUGUGAAAAUCAGCAUCUAAACCUUCCACAUAUUUACAAUUAGCCUGCACUGAACAAUGAAAUUGUAGAAAAUUCUUAAAGCCUCUGUUCUAACCCAUCAGUAUUGCCAGUGGACCAAGAAAUUAAGUAGAACUUAUGGUGUAGCGCUCAAAAAGUUGUUAAGGUGGCAGUAACCCUUUUUUAGCUGUCCAAAUAGCUGAAUUAUUUACUCAGUGUUUUAUUUAUACUAUUUUUUUUCACUAUUUCCUAAAAAUAUAGCCUAUAUUAUUAUUAAUAUUAAUACAUAAUAAAAUGAUUUUAACUUAACACUAAAAUUGCUGAGUCAGCAGAAAUUUAUUUUUAAAAAUGUAUCAACAAGAAAAAAAUCGGCUUCUACGAGCUCUAACUUUUUACAAUCUCGUUAUUUUUCAUCAGCUUCUGUUUUUAAAUGAACCUCGGGUUAACCCUGUUAAAACGGUGUGCAGAUUUUUUUUUUCAUUCUUAUUUUUUUAACAAUAGUCUUGUUUUUUUUCAAAAGAUUCUUUGUUAUCAUCCCCUGUUGCAUCGAACGCUGUUAAAAGAAAAAAAUUCCGAAUAAAAAGAUUUCCGCACACCGUAUCAUGGCUGCAUGAUUCACCAAGCAUGUCUGAAAAUUUUAAAGUAAAACGAAAAUGCUAUCGAAGGUUAAAGCUCGUGCAGUGUAGCAUAAUGAAGAUCGUCUUAAAUUUCUACAUAAUGCGCCAUCUUUGUUGUUAUUAACGUAUCUCUUUAAUAAUUACGUCAUUUCCUUCUGUGCAAUUUUGCAAGCACGUAGACUUAAACUAUAUUCGGCAGAACUAAUUAAUUAUUCAUAAAUUUUAUUUAAAAGAGGAAUUGUUGAGGCUGAAUAUUUUUGGUAAAGGAUAAUAGUAUUUUAGCUGUAAAAUCGUGACAAGUGUGUUACAACAGAAAAAUAUGGAUAUAUAAGGCCGGUUUCCAUGCAACUGCAUUUUGUGCCCAGUCGUAAAAAGCGCCGUGACUUUUGAUCUACGCAUGCGCAUUAUCAGAAUAAUUCCGCUGACCUCGCGCUUUUGCAUGCGCUGGGGCGAUUUAAAAAAAGUUAAACAGGCUCUACUUUUUGCGCUGCAGCUUAACAGCCAAUCAAAAGGUAGCAAUCUACAUGAAUUACGAAAGAAUUUUUAAUUAUAACAUUUCAAUAUGGCUAGCAACAUCUCGUUUCUGUGUUAAAUUUUUGUCAAAGCCAAAUGAAUGUAGAGAAUCAGAAUAUAUAUCAAUCAAGUGAAGUAGAUGAAAAACAGAAUAACAUUAAUGAGUCUGUGGAGGCACAAAGAAACA